AUGACUUCUAGUGAGGGCAGUUAUCACCAUAGAGGUCCUUGCUUUGAUGGUACUAACUUUGCUAGUUGGAAGCAUAAGAUGAAAAUGCAUAUUCUUGGUUAUAAUCCCGCCGAAUGGGCAAUUGUUCGUAUUGGCUUGCGAGGUGAAUUCUUUGAAGAUAGAAAAAUUCUGGAUCGUGAAGCAACAACGAAAGAGUUGAAGAUGUUACAAUACAAUGCUCAAGCAUGUGACAUACUCUUAAAAUGGAUUGUGCCCCGAGGAGUUCAACAAAGUCUUGAGAAUGCCAAGGAAGUUUGGGAUACUUUGGUUAAUAUGCAUGAAGGCACCGAUUCCAUCAAGGAAUCCAAGUUGGAUGUGCUUCAAAGUCAACUUGACAAGUUCAAGAUAAAGGGUGAUGAAGGAGUCGCAGAAAUAUACUACUGUCUCACUAAUCUGGCCAUGGUACCCAAGAAGGAUAUGUCUUGGCGCUUGUGCAUCGAUUUUAAGGACCUCAACAAGGCCUGCCCUAAGGACCCCUUCCCCUACCACACAUUGACCAGAUCGUGGAUGCAACAACAUGGCAUGACUCACUGUGCAUCCUAG
This 582-nucleotide ribosomal RNA is filed under the name Triticum aestivum (bread wheat). RNAcentral describes it as "partial small subunit ribosomal RNA". Lineage: Eukaryota; Viridiplantae; Streptophyta; Magnoliopsida; Poales; Poaceae. The record is from RNAcentral.